GCAGCACGAGAGAGCUUGCUCUCUUGGUGGCGAGUGGCGGACGGGUGAGUAAUAUAUCGGAACGUGCCCAGUAGCGGGGGAUAACUACUCGAAAGAGUGGCUAAUACCGCAUACGCCCUACGGGGGAAAGGGGGGGAUUCUUCGGAACCUCUCACUAUUGGAGCGGCCGAUAUCGGAUUAGCUAGUUGGUGGGGUAAAGGCUCACCAAGGCAACGAUCCGUAGCUGGUUUGAGAGGACGACCAGCCACACUGGGACUGAGACACGGCCCAGACUCCUACGGGAGGCAGCAGUGGGGAAUUUUGGACAAUGGGGGAAACCCUGAUCCAGCCAUCCCGCGUGUAUGAUGAAGGCCUUCGGGUUGUAAAGUACUUUUGGCAGAGAAGAAAAGGUAUCUCCUAAUACGAGAUACUGCUGACGGUAUCUGCAGAAUAAGCACCGGCUAACUACGUGCCAGCAGCCGCGGUAAUACGUAGGGUGCAAGCGUUAAUCGGAAUUACUGGGCGUAAAGCGUGUGUAGGCGGUUCGGAAAGAAAGAUGUGAAAUCCCAGGGCUCAACCUUGGAACUGCAUUUUUAACUGCCGAGCUAGAGUAUGUCAGAGGGGGGUAGAAUUCCACGUGUAGCAGUGAAAUGCGUAGAUAUGUGGAGGAAUACCGAUGGCGAAGGCAGCCCCCUGGGAUAAUACUGACGCUCAGACACGAAAGCGUGGGGAGCAAACAGGAUUAGAUACCCUGGUAGUCCACGCCCUAAACGAUGUCAACUAGCUGUUGGGGCCGUUAGGCCUUAGUAGCGCAGCUAACGCGUGAAGUUGACCGCCUGGGGAGUACGGUCGCAAGAUUAAAACUCAAAGGAAUUGACGGGGACCCGCACAAGCGGUGGAUGAUGUGGAUUAAUUCGAUGCAACGCGAAAAACCUUACCUACCCUUGACAUGUCUGGAAUCCCGAAGAGAUUUGGGAGUGCUCGCAAGAGAACCGGAACACAGGUGCUGCAUG
This 992-nucleotide ribosomal RNA is filed under the name Alcaligenes sp. RNAcentral describes it as "bacterial SSU rRNA". It matches the Rfam family "Bacterial small subunit ribosomal RNA", at positions 66 to 1047 of the family's 1533-position model. The record is from RNAcentral. Lineage: Bacteria; Pseudomonadati; Pseudomonadota; Betaproteobacteria; Burkholderiales; Alcaligenaceae.